AUACGGAGGAUGCAAGCGUUAUCCGGAUUUAUUGGGUUUAAAGGGUGCGUAGGCGGGACUGUAAGUCCGGGGUGAAAUACUGCAGCUUAACUGUAGCUUUGCCUUUGAAACUGCCGUUCUUGAGUACAGUUGAGGUAGGCGGAAUGUGGUGUGUAGCGGUGAAAUGCAUAGAUAUACCACAGAACGCCGAUUGCGAAGGCAGCUUACUAAGCUGUUACUGACGCUGAGGCACGAAAGCGUGGGGAUCAAACAGGAUUAGAUACCCUGGUAGUCCACGCUGUAAACGAUGAUUACUGGUUGUUAGCGAUAUAUAGCUAGUGACUGAGCGAAAGCAUUAAGUAAUCCACCUGGGGAGUACGUCGGCAACGAUGAAACUCAAAUGAAUUGGCGGGG
RNAcentral lists this ribosomal RNA (393 nucleotides) under uncultured bacterium. RNAcentral describes it as "partial 16S ribosomal RNA". It matches the Rfam family "Bacterial small subunit ribosomal RNA", at positions 523 to 918 of the family's 1533-position model. The record is from RNAcentral.